Molecule: microRNA precursor, 168 nt
Filed under: Oryza brachyantha (malo sina)
Lineage: Eukaryota; Viridiplantae; Streptophyta; Magnoliopsida; Poales; Poaceae
Description: MIR812 microRNA precursor family
Rfam family: MIR812 microRNA precursor family
Source: Rfam by way of RNAcentral
AUUUUUUUCGUGUCCAAUAUUUAACCAUUCAUUUUAUUUGAAAUUUUUUUGUGAUUAAUAUUUUUAUUAUUACUGGAUGAUAAAAUAUGAAUAAUAUUUUAUACGUGAUUAAGUUUCUAUAUAAAUUUUUUAAAUAAUAUGAAUGAUCAAAACGUUCGAAACGAAAAA